This 292-nucleotide ribosomal RNA is filed under the name uncultured Acidobacteriota bacterium. RNAcentral's name for it is "uncultured Acidobacteria bacterium partial 16S ribosomal RNA". Lineage: Bacteria; Pseudomonadati; Acidobacteriota. The record is from RNAcentral.
GGACUACCCGGGUAUCUAAUCCUGUUUGCUACCCACGCUUUCGUGUCUCAGCGUCAGUCGUGGUCCAGUAAGCUGUCUACACCACAGGUGUUCCUCCUGAUAUCUACGCAUUUCACCGCUACACCAGGAAUUCCGCUUACCUCUCCCACACUCAAGCACUGCAGUUUCUAGCGCACCCUCCCAGUUGAGCCGGGAGAUUUCACACCAGACUUACAGCACCGCCUACACACUCUUUACGCCCAGUAAUUCCGAACAACGCUCGCUGCCUACGUAUUACCGCGGCGGCUGGCAC